UCAAAACUGCUCUCUCAAAAGACAUGUUCAACUCUGUCAGUUGAGGACACACAUCACAAAGAAGUUUCUGAGAAUGCUUCUGUCUAGUUUUUAUGGGAAGAUAUUUCCUUUUUCACCAUAGGCCUCAAAGCGCUCCAAAUGUCCACUUCCAGGGAAUGGAAAAAGAGUGUUUCCAACCUGCUCUAUGAAAGCCAAUGUUCAACUCCGUGACUUGAAUGCAACCAUCACAAGGAAGUUUCUGAGAAUGCUUCUGUCUAGGUUUUAUAUGAAGAUAUUCCCGUUUCCAACGAAAUCCUCAAAGCUAUCCAAAUAUCCACUUGGAGAUUCUACAAAAAGAGUGUUUCAAAACUGCUCUAUCAAAAGAAAGGUUCUACUCCGUCAGUUGAGGACACACAUCACGAGUAAGUUUCUGACAAUGCUUCUGUCUAGUUUUUAUGGGAAGAUAUGUCCUUUUUCACCUUAGGCCGGAAAGCGCUCCAAAAGUCCAGUUACAGACACUACAAAAAGAGUGUUUCAAACCUGCUCUGUGAAAGGGAAUGUUCAAUUCUGUGACUUGAAUGCAAACAUCACAAAGAAAUUGCUGAGAAUGCUGCUGUCUGCUUUUUAUACCUUAUCGCGUUUCCAACGAAAUCCUCAAAUCCAGCCAAAUAUCCACUUGCAGACUCCACAAAAAGAGUGUUUCAAAACUAUACUCUCCAAAGAAAUGUUCAACUCUGUUAGUUGAGGACACACAUCAGAGACUAGCUUCUGAGAAUGCUUCUGUCCAGUUGUUACGGGAAGAUAUUUCCUUUUUCAACAUAGGCCUGAAACCGCUUCAAAUGUCCACUUCCAGAUACUGCAAAGAGAGUGUUUCAAACCUUCUCUACGAAAGGGCAUGUUCUCCUCUGUGACGUCAAUGCAAACAUCCCAAAGAAGUUUCUGAGAAUGCUUCUGUCUGGAUUUUAUCUGAAGACAAUCCCGUUUCCAACGAAAUCCUCAAAGAUAUGCAAAUAUGCUCCUGCAGAUUCUACAAAAAGAGUGUUUCAAAACUGCUCUAUGAAAAGAAAGGUUCGACUCUGUUAGUAGAGGGCACACAUCACAAACAAGUUGCCGAGAAUGCUUCUGUCUGGUUUUUAUGGGAAGAUAUUUCCUUUUCCAACACAAGCCUGAAUGCGCUCCAAAUGGACACUUCCAGAUACGACAAAAGGAGUGUUUCAAACCUGUUCUGUGAAAGGGAACGUUCCAUUCUGUGACUUGAAUGCAAACAUCACCAAGUAGUUUCUCAGAACGCUGCUGUCUGCUUUUUAUAUAUAUUCCCGUUUCCAACGAAAUCCUCAAAGCUAUCCAAAUAUCCACUUGGAGAUUCUACAAAAAGAGUGUUUCAAAACUGCUCUAUCAAAAGAAAGGUUCUACUCCGUCAGUUGAGGACACACAUCAC
Oxyura jamaicensis (ruddy duck) is the source of this 1417-nucleotide long non-coding RNA. RefSeq lists it as uncharacterized. The transcript is spliced from 2 exons. The record is from RefSeq and is a predicted model, not a curated record. Lineage: Eukaryota; Metazoa; Chordata; Aves; Anseriformes; Anatidae.